RNAcentral lists this microRNA (22 nucleotides) under Callithrix jacchus (white-tufted-ear marmoset). RNAcentral's name for it is "Cja-Mir-196-P3_3p* (star (passenger))". RNAcentral also lists the same sequence under 1 other name. The record is from RNAcentral. Lineage: Eukaryota; Metazoa; Chordata; Mammalia; Primates; Cebidae.
CAACAACAUCAAACCACCCGAU